UCCAAGCCUGUGAUCUCUGCACUGAACGAGCAUUACUCUGCUCAAUUAACCCACCCCAAACUCGGUGCCUUACAAAAAUAAUCUAAUUUAAUGGUGUAAUUGUGCAGCAAGGCACUAUUUUACCCCGCUGUAAACCUAUGCAAUAUAUUCAAACCUGAACAAAGCACUGAUGACCCUCUACAAAGCAGGAAUGGUUCAGGCGGGGUAAAAUACUCUGAACAACACAACCAUAGCCAUUUACUCACUAGCCUGUCUACUUGCAUUCAUUUUAAAGCAAUAACUCGAAUAUGAACAACACCACUCACACUGAUGGCUCCACUUAUGCAGUGACCAAAACAGCAGCACCUCCCUACAGUUCAUCUCCACGUUAUACAAUUCAAUCACGCAGUCCCAAAACACUUCAUUUAUUUUGGAUUGUCUUCAGGCGUUGUGCUGAAAAUCAGGAGUGAGAUAACAGCAGCGAAGGUAACCGGGUCGGAGAGGUCCAACACAUAGGCGAAACAAGACCAAAGGGACUGUCGGUCAGAACAUCUCCGCCAACUGGCUACCUACACGGACUCUCUGAGGCUUGCAGGAACACGGAUCUGCAGCGAUCGUUAGAGCAGCAAACUGUUUCCUGCGCCUGGAAAAAAAUAAAUAUUUGAAUAUUCUCAGGCGCUC
This is a long non-coding RNA of Carassius carassius (crucian carp), 660 nucleotides long. RefSeq lists it as uncharacterized. The transcript is spliced from 4 exons. Lineage: Eukaryota; Metazoa; Chordata; Actinopteri; Cypriniformes; Cyprinidae. The record is from RefSeq and is a predicted model, not a curated record.